This 484-nucleotide ribosomal RNA is filed under the name uncultured bacterium. Its description in RNAcentral is "partial 16S ribosomal RNA". It matches the Rfam family "Bacterial small subunit ribosomal RNA", at positions 28 to 523 of the family's 1533-position model. The record is from RNAcentral.
GACGAACGCUGGCGGCGUGCUUAACACAUGCAAGUCGAACGAUGAACCCGGAGCUUGCUCCGGCGGAUUAGUGGCGAACGGGUGAGUAACACGUGGGUGAUCUGCCCUGCACUUCGGGAUAAGCCUGGGAAACUGGGUCUAAUACCGGAUAGGACCACUGCCUGCAUGGGUGGUGGUGGAAAGCUUUUGCGGUGUGGGAUGGGCCCGCGGCCUAUCAGCUUGUUGGUGGGGUGAUGGCCUACCAAGGCGACGACGGGUAGCCGGCCUGAGAGGGUGACCGGCCACACUGGGACUGAGAUACGGCCCAGACUCCUACGGGAGGCAGCAGUGGGGAAUAUUGCACAAUGGGCGCAAGCCUGAUGCAGCGACGCCGCGUGAGGGAUGACGGCCUUCGGGUUGUAAACCUCUUUCAGCACCGACGAAGCGCAAGUGACGGUAGGUGCAGAAGAAGGACCGGCCAACUACGUGCCAGCAGCCGCAGUAA